This 30-nucleotide small RNA is filed under the name Bombyx mori (domestic silkworm). RNAcentral's name for it is "ovarian small RNA-15939". The record is from RNAcentral. Lineage: Eukaryota; Metazoa; Arthropoda; Insecta; Lepidoptera; Bombycidae.
GAGGUAUGCCUAUAGGGCCCUAUAUUACAC